Non-coding RNA from Paramuricea clavata, 151 nucleotides. The record is from the annotation of a GenBank genome assembly. Lineage: Eukaryota; Metazoa; Cnidaria; Anthozoa; Malacalcyonacea; Plexauridae.
AAUACAAAACAAUGGACACUCCGAAAAUGGUUAACAAUUUGAUUCGACGUUUCGACUAGCUUGCAGUCAUCAUCAGGAAUGAUGACUGCAAGCUAGUUGAAACAUCGAAUCAAAAUGUUAACCAUUUUCGGAGUGUCCAUUGUUUUGUAUU